Molecule: ribosomal RNA, 253 nt
Filed under: uncultured bacterium
Lineage: Bacteria
Description: partial 16S ribosomal RNA
Rfam family: Bacterial small subunit ribosomal RNA
Source: RNAcentral
UACAGAGGGUGCGAGCGUUAAUCGGAAUUACUGGGCGUAAAGCGCGCGUAGGCGGCUUUGCAAGUCGGGUGUGAAAUCCCCAGGCUUAACCUGGGAACUGCAUUCGAGACUGCAUUGCUAGAGUAUGGGAGAGGGAAGUGGAAUUUCCGGUGUAGCGGUGAAAUGCGUAGAUAUCUGGAGGAACACCGGUGGCGAAGGCGGCAUCCUGGACCAACACUGACACUGAGGAGCGAAAGCCAGGGGAGCAAACGGG